UUAAGUGACUAAGCGUACAAGGUGGAUGCCUUGGCAAUCAGAGGCGACGAAGGACGUGCUAAUCUGCGAAAAGCUUGGAUGAGUCGAUAAGAGGCGUUUAAUCCAAGAUGUCCGAAUGGGGAAACCCAGUAGAUGAAGAAUCUACUAUCACUUACUGAAUCCAUAGGUAAGUGAGGCAAACCGGGAGAACUGAAACAUCUAAGUACCCCGAGGAAAAGAAAUCAACCGAGAUUUCGUUAGUAGCGGCGAGCGAACGCGAAGGAGCCUGUUAGUGAUAAUGACAGAGACAGAGGAACAAGCUGGGAAGCUUGGCGAUACAGGGUGAUAGCCCCGUACUCGAAGUCCAGGUCAUGGUACUAAGCUAACGAUAAGUAGGGCGGGACACGUGAUAUCCUGUUUGAAGAUGGGGGGACCAUCCUCCAAGGCUAAAUACUCCUGAUUGACCGAUAGUGAACCAGUACUGUGAAGGAAAGGCGAAAAGAACCCCGGUGAGGGGAGUGAAAUAGAACCUGAAACCUUGUACGUACAAGCAGUGGGAGCCCUUUAAGGGUGACUGCGUACCUUUUGUAUAAUGGGUCAGCGACUUAUAUUUUGUAGCGAGGUUAACCGAAUAGGGGAGCCGAAGGGAAACCGAGUCUUAACUGGGCGUCUAGUUGCAAGGUAUAGACCCGAAACCCGGUGAUCUAGCCAUGGGCAGGUUGAAGGUUGGGUAACACUAACUGGAGGACCGAACCGACUAAUGUUGAAAAAUUAGCGGAUGACUUGUGGCUGGGGGUGAAAGGCCAAUCAAACCGGGAGAUAGCUGGUUCUCCCCGAAAUCUAUUUAGGUAGAGCCUUGAGCGGACACCUUCGGGGGUAGAGCACUGUUUCGGCUAGGGGUCCAUCCCGGAUUACCAACCCGAUGCAAACUACGAAUACCGAAGAGUGAUACUCAGGAGACACACGGCGGGUGCUAACGUCCGUCGUGGAGAGGGAAACAACCCAGACCGCCAGCUAAGGUCCCAAAGUCUAUAUUAAGUGGGAAACGAGGUGGGAAGGCUUAGACAGCUAGGAUGUUGGCUUAGAAGCAGCCAUCAUUUAAAGAAAGCGUAAUAGCUCACUAGUCGAGUCGGCCUGCGCGGAAGAUGUAACGGGGCUCAAAUAUAGCACCGAAGCUGCGGCAUCAGACGAAAGUCUGUUGGGUAGGGGAGCGUUCUGUAAGCGGAUGAAGGUGGCUCGAGAGGGCUGCUGGACGUAUCAGAAGUGCGAAUGCUGACAUAAGUAACGAUAAAACGGGUGAAAAACCCGUUCGCCGGAAGACCAAGGGUUCCUGUCCAACGUUAAUCGGGGCAGGGUGAGUCGGCCCCUAAGGCGAGGCUGAAAAGCGUAGUCGAUGGGAAACGGGUUAAUAUUCCCGUACUUGGAUAAACUGCGAUGUGGGGACGGAGCAGGUUAGGUUAUCGCACUGUUGGAUAUGUGCGUUUAAGUUGGUAGGUGUGAAGUUUAGGCAAAUCCGGACUUCUUUAACACUGAGAGAUGAUGACGAGGCUCUACGGAGCUGAAGUAACCGAUACCACACUUCCAGGAAAAGCCACUAAGCUUCAGGUUUAUCUAAACCGUACUGAAAACCGACACAGGUGGUCAGGUAGAGAAUACUCAGGCGCUUGAGAGAACUCGGGUGAAGGAACUAGGCAAAAUAGCACCGUAACUUCGGGAGAAGGUGCGCCGGCGUAGAUUGUAGUCCCUUGCGGGCGAAGGUUGAACCGGUCGAAGAUACCAGCUGGCUGCAACUGUUUAUUAAAAACACAGCACUCUGCAAACACGAAAGUGGACGUAUAGGGUGUGAUGCCUGCCCGGUGCUGGAAGGUUAAUUGAUGGUGUAAUCGAAAGAGAAGCUCCUGAUCGAAGCCCCAGUAAACGGCGGCCGUAACUAUAACGGUCCUAAGGUAGCGAAAUUCCUUGUCGGGUAAGUUCCGACCUGCACGAAUGG
Molecule: ribosomal RNA, 1969 nt
Filed under: human gut metagenome
Description: bacterial LSU rRNA
Rfam family: Bacterial large subunit ribosomal RNA
Source: RNAcentral